CCCUGAAUCUAAUUCCAACCUGUUGAGAUAUUUGGUAAACUGUAAUACUCAAUGUGACCAGCAGAGGUUUCCAUGAUUGUCAGCGAUGUUUAAGUCAGCAAAAAAGAGAACGGAGAAAGAGACUUCCAGGUGGAUAGUAGAGUGUAAAAAAUAAAGUUGGAGCGCAAGCUUGUUGUUCAAAAACAAAUGCUGGUUAUUCUGAAAGAAGAACAACAUACAACCCUGACGCUAUCCUUAACCCAAAGCCAACACCACCGGUUGAACUAGUUGGACAGAUGGAAACUGGAAGGUCUUCUAAGAGCAGCCUGCUCUUGAUCUUCUUUGCCGUGUCACUUCUUUCAAAUGCAUAUGUCUCUUGCACCAUAAUUUCUCAUGCUGAGAGACUCUGAUGAAUACAGUCGUGAAUAACAGGCCCACCACAACAGAAGUGCAGCAACACAUGUAGACAGACAGGGAUAUGCCCCUCCAUUUGUCUCAGCAAAAUAUUACUGCACUUUACUGAACAGCGCACCUCAAAGGGCACUUCUGACGUGGAAACCAAAAAGAGCGUCUCAUUAUGAUGAUGAGAAUGGGCCACCAGUGAAUUCGUUCCUUUCAAGCAGGUCCCACUUUGAAAUCCUUCCGGUGAAAUGAGAUGAAACCGCAACAUGCGUUUGAAUGGUGACUCAACAAUGAAAAGAAAAGUGAUUUUAUUGUUGCUCAUGAGCUUCUUCGAUCCGAGAUGUCA
Long non-coding RNA from Syngnathus acus (greater pipefish), 727 nucleotides. RefSeq lists it as uncharacterized. The record is from RefSeq and is a predicted model, not a curated record. The transcript is spliced from 3 exons. NCBI's taxonomy places the organism in Eukaryota, Metazoa, Chordata, Actinopteri, Syngnathiformes, Syngnathidae.